CUAGCGACUUCAGAGUUUGUAUCCUGGCUCAGGAUGAACGCUGGCGGCAUGCCUAACACAUGCAAGUCGAACGAAGCACAUGUGACAGCUUGCUGAGGAUUGUGACUUAGUGGCAACGGGUGAGUAAUGCAUGAGCAACCUGCCCUUCAGUGGGGGACAACAGUUGGAAACGACUGCUAAUACCGCAUAAUACUUCCGAAAGGCAUCUUUUGGAAGUCAAAGAUUUAUUGCUGAAGGAUGGGCUCAUGUCUGAUUAGCUAGUUGGUAGGGUAACGGCCUACCAAGGCGACGAUCAGUAGCCGGUCUGAGAGGAUGAACGGCCACAUUGGGACUGAGAUACGGCCCAG
RNAcentral lists this ribosomal RNA (347 nucleotides) under uncultured bacterium. RNAcentral's name for it is "bacterial SSU rRNA". It matches the Rfam family "Bacterial small subunit ribosomal RNA", at positions 1 to 334 of the family's 1533-position model. The record is from RNAcentral.